Molecule: transfer RNA, 76 nt
Filed under: Magnetococcales bacterium
Lineage: Bacteria; Pseudomonadati; Pseudomonadota; Magnetococcia; Magnetococcales
Description: tRNA-His
Rfam family: tRNA
About the family: Transfer RNA (tRNA) molecules are approximately 80 nucleotides in length. Their secondary structure includes four short double-helical elements and three loops (D, anti-codon, and T loops).
Source: RNAcentral
GCGAAUGUAGCUCAGUUGGCAGAGCCCUGGAUUGUGGAUCCAGUUGUCGUGGGUUCGAGUCCCAUCGUUCGCCCCA